ACCCCUGUGACAUACCACUUGUUGCCUCGGCGGAUCAGCCCGCUCCCGGUAAAACGGGACGGCCCGCCAGAGGACCGCUAAACUCUGUUUCUAUAUGUAACUUCUGAGUAAAACCAUAAAUAAAUCAAAACUUUCAACAACGGAUCUCUUGGUUCUGGCAUCGAUGAAGAACGCAGCAAAAUGCGAUAAGUAAUGUGAAUUGCAGAAUUCAGUGAAUCAUCGAAUCUUUGAACGCACAUUGCGCCCGCCAGUAUUCUGGCGGGCAUGCCUGUUCGAGCGUCAUUUCAACCCUCAAGCACAGCUUGGUGUUGGGACUCGCGUUAAUUCGCGUUCCCCAAAUUGAUUGGCGGUCACGUCGAGCUUCCAUAGCGUAGUAGUAAAACCCUCGUUACUGGUAAUCGUCGCGGCCACGCCGUUAAACCCCAACUUCUGAAUGUUGACCUCGGAUCAGGUAGGAAUACCCGCUGAACUUAAG
Molecule: ribosomal RNA, 475 nt
Filed under: Fusarium oxysporum f. sp. lycopersici
Lineage: Eukaryota; Fungi; Ascomycota; Sordariomycetes; Hypocreales; Nectriaceae
Description: eukaryotic LSU rRNA
Rfam family: 5.8S ribosomal RNA (bases 129-282)
Source: RNAcentral